AAGCAGGAAAACCCUGCAUUUUGCUUCUGGCUGAAGUCAGAAAAUAUAUAAUGUAUGUGGGUUCAGCUGGCAGUCUUGCCAGGAAGGAGCUAGUUUCAAAAUACCAGAUUUGGCUCCAUACUUGCUAGGUUUACAGUUAAUGGCAGUUAGCUGUGGACUCUACCUUUUAUUAGGGUCAAGUGAAUUGAAAAAGUCAAAUGGUGAUAGGUCCUUUUGUGGACAUUCCGUUCGAAUGAUUGGUCCAAUGAGGACUCGGAACUCCAGAAAGAACCCAAUGAUUGGCCAGAGGGAGUAAAUAUAAGGGCAGACACCGCAUUCUUUGGGAGCAGUUGGUCAGGAGACUAGAAAGAGUCGGAAGGUGAACUUAGAACCACAGGAGACAGGGACUGAGGGAGGCAAGCCAGGAGAGGUGUUUUCCAGGAUGGUGUCUGACCAGAGUGGCCAGCAGCUAACAGUGGGCCUCAGGAAGGAGAAAGACUUCAGAGGCAGCACCAUCAUGUCUGAGUCUUCAAGUACCAGACCAGAAGAGAGAUUUAUGAAGAAAACUGAAUCAAGCCGAUCAGGGGAUCUUUGACUGUGUCGGACCGGUCAUCCCACUCAGGGGAGCCAAACUGGUAUCGCCCUUCCAUGAUCAUCCGAAGCAUCAGCAUCUGCUUACGGUGCCAAAAAGGAGGAGAGCCAGCCAAGAGGGUGAAAAAGAUGACUCCACAGGCCCAACUUCAGGGAAAGGAGGAGAGAGCUUUAUUUCCUGCACCCUUUCCCCAAACACCAAAAUUGGAGAACAGCAAAGCAGAAAGACUAAGGAAUAUUGGCCGAGGAAGCACCCUAUACAAUUUGUGCAGCUUUUUGGAAA
Lacerta agilis (Sand lizard) is the source of this 853-nucleotide long non-coding RNA. RefSeq lists it as uncharacterized. Lineage: Eukaryota; Metazoa; Chordata; Lepidosauria; Squamata; Lacertidae. The record is from RefSeq and is a predicted model, not a curated record. The transcript has 2 exons.